This 74-nucleotide transfer RNA is filed under the name Triticum aestivum (bread wheat). It matches the Rfam family "tRNA". From Rfam's summary of the family: Transfer RNA (tRNA) molecules are approximately 80 nucleotides in length. Their secondary structure includes four short double-helical elements and three loops (D, anti-codon, and T loops). Lineage: Eukaryota; Viridiplantae; Streptophyta; Magnoliopsida; Poales; Poaceae. The record is from Rfam by way of RNAcentral.
GCGGAUGUGGCCAAGUGGAUCAAGGUAGUGGAUUGUGAAUCCACCAUGCGCGGGUUCAAUUCCCAUCGGUCGCC